CUUAAACUCUUAAACUUAAGCUGUAUAUUAAUAAUAUACAGCUAUUUUAAGGUUGUAGUGUAAAUUUUGUUUUGUUUAUGUUUUAUUUAUUUUCCCAUUUCCCACUGGCAUAAAAAAGUGAGGUUAUUCUUCUUCUCCACUCAACCCGUAUUUGAUGUUCGCACUUCGCACAGACGGUUUCAAAUCGAUCAGAAGUUGUAAUAUUUUACGCAUGCGCAUCAAGAAUGGUUUGGAAACAGUUUCAAACUUAUAAGAAAUUUGCAGUGAGAACAAACCUUAUGUCGACUGAUGUUGUCAGUAAUAAUAUUGAGAUAGGAUCUCAGUUUGAAAGCUAUGAGGAAGUUCAGAAGGCAAUUGAUGAGUAUUCAAAAAGAAAUUUAUCAUUUUAUGGAAACGGGAUGCCAGGACAAUUCAGUCAAGUAAAGUUAAGCGUUUUUUAAGUGAUAAACUUAUUUAUUAUGAACUAAAAUAUGCUUGUGUACAUGAAGGUAGAGGUUUUGUUUCUUGUAGCAAGGGCAUACGUGAAUCGUCGUAAGUACCUAUGUAUAUUUAGUAUUUAUCCCCAUACUUCAUAAUAUUUUUUGUAAUUGCAAUGAAUAGAAUCCAUUAAUAAUAAUGAUCUAUGUUGUAGAACAUAUAGAAAGGAGUGUCCCUUUUUUAUCAGAUUUAGGGCUUCCAAAAAUGGAAAAAGUUUAGAAGUAAUAGCCAUGAACAAUGAACACAACCAUACAAUUUCAAAGGAAUAUUAUGCCCACUACCCAGUUCAAAGACAAAUGCCUGAAGAUAUGAAAAAUAUUACAAAAGAGUUAUUAGUACUAAAGGCAAAUAAAAAACUUGUUAAAGAAAAAAUGAUAGAAAAAACUGGAAAAGUAAUUUAAUGAAAGACGCGUCUAAUUUGGCAUCAGUUAAAAAUGUGAAGAGGGAUAAUUUGGCCUACUGCAUUAAGCUAAUACAGGAUAAAUAUGGAGUUGGAUAAUAAAAAUGCCAAAGAAAAUUAAAAAAAGAGGUAGAGUAAAAGGUGAGGCUCUGACAACCAUUGGCUUGCCUAGAAGAAGAAAAAUUAAUAAAAAACUUACGCCAUUUGCCAAACUUAGCAUUAAUGAAAAACAACGAUUUAUUCUAAGGUUGCUAAAUAUAGAGGAUAACGAAUUUACGUCCAUUAAUGACGAUAUUAAAAAAAUUACCAAAGAUGAUGUUCAUUUAAUGGAAUUUAACUGCAAAAUUUUUGAUGACAAUAUAAAUUUCCAUUUAGUCAAGUACGUUCAUUAAAGUAAAAAUACAAUAAAUAAUAAUAAUAAUAAUAAUGUAAUAAAGUAUACCUAUUAUCUA
RNAcentral lists this long non-coding RNA (1329 nucleotides) under Anthonomus grandis grandis. RNAcentral describes it as "uncharacterized LOC126740925". Lineage: Eukaryota; Metazoa; Arthropoda; Insecta; Coleoptera; Curculionidae. The record is from RNAcentral.